Fukomys damarensis (Damara mole-rat) is the source of this 124-nucleotide small nuclear RNA. NCBI's taxonomy places the organism in Eukaryota, Metazoa, Chordata, Mammalia, Rodentia, Bathyergidae. The record is from Ensembl.
CUGUUGUAUGAAAGAAGAAGGUUAGCACUCCCCUUGACAAGGAUGGUAGAGGCCCUUGGGCCUGACAACAUGCACACGGCUAAGGCAUUGCCACCUACUUCGUGGCAUCUAACCAUUGUCUUUU